GCUUUUUGCUCUACAGUUGUGUGAGAUCGACCUUAAACUUUCUCCGACCCUAUUCGGGAUGCCCUAGCACGGCUCAGGUGUUGGUGGCUGUCAAGGACCCGGGUUCCAACAAUCUGGAAAAGUAGGAACCCAGUGCCCGGCUCCCUAGCUUUACUGCUCUUAAAUAUAUAAAUUCCCGGGAAGUUUCGGAUACCUCACUACGACAUUCCCCAGCUGACCUUUGGGAACUUUUAACUUGGGUCGUCCUGUACAGAACGGUAGUCUACGGGGCGCUCAAAAUGGAAAAGGGUUUCCACAUCAGUCGCGUUCGAGAACGCUCUCCAACUUUUGAUGUCCCGUUUGCUCUUAGCUUUCCCCGUGGAGAGUUACAGGUAAGUCGCAGAUAAGUCAUUGCGAAGAGGGGGUGUCACCUUCCCUGGACCCAGAGCUAAAUUCUGCUUCCCCACCCCCACGUUCAUAUACACACCCCUUAUUCGCUCCCUCCAAACGGUUAUCACAACUCUGUACAAACUGAUACGGUCCCUAGCGGGCAAAAGGACUGGAAAUGAACGUCGCGGGGUUAUCAGCGCCUAUCUGUCAGCAGUGACUCGCGCGGCCGCAGGCUCGUCCGCUGCCGGAGCCGUGAUAUAUGUCUCUCUCCCUUUCGCUCACAGAAAGGAUUUCUUCCGACAGACAUGACCCCAGAAGGCGGCCGAGGGAAACUUUAGGACAAGAGGAGUUGUUUUUGUGAUAAUGCAUUUUUAAACCCCACCCCCCCACACACAAGUUUCAGCGUGGCCGCAUUUUGAAAAGGCUGAAGGUAGAAAACUCUGGAAUGGAGAGGCUGGCGACUGGAGCAGGAUCCAGGGGCUUUAAAUUUUAACCUGAGUGCGAUCGAAUGUGCGACUUCCAGAUGAGAUAGCCAGGCGUCCGCCCAGCCACUCAACCCCCGCCAGGACUCGGAAUGCCUUGCUUUUGGUUCUUUUCUACAAGGAUGUCUGCAUGGAUAUCCCUGGACACUGAUACCCCUGGGGACCUGCUUUUGCCGCAGCUCCGCAGACGCAGCGGGAGGGCUCGCUGGCCCGGGCGCUGCUGGGACAGAGGUGAGCGGCGAGAUGGACAUUGA
This 1105-nucleotide long non-coding RNA is filed under the name Aotus nancymaae (Ma's night monkey). RNAcentral's name for it is "lncRNA (ENSANAG00000038634.1)". Lineage: Eukaryota; Metazoa; Chordata; Mammalia; Primates; Aotidae. The record is from RNAcentral.